RNAcentral lists this ribosomal RNA (865 nucleotides) under Salmonella enterica. Its description in RNAcentral is "partial 23S ribosomal RNA". It matches the Rfam family "Bacterial large subunit ribosomal RNA", at positions 634 to 1503 of the family's 2925-position model. The record is from RNAcentral. Lineage: Bacteria; Pseudomonadati; Pseudomonadota; Gammaproteobacteria; Enterobacterales; Enterobacteriaceae.
UCUGUAGCAAGGUUAACCGAAUAGGGGAGCCGGAGGGAAACCGAGUCUUAACCGGGCGUUAAGUUGCAGGGUAUAGACCCGAAACCCGGUGAUCUAGCCAUGGGCAGGUUGAAGGUUGGGUAACACUAACUGGAGGACCGAACCGACUAAUGUUGAAAAAUUAGCGGAUGACCUGUGGCUGGGGGUGAAAGGCCAAUCAAACCGGGAGAUAGCUGGUUCUCCCCGAAAGCUAUUUAGGUAGCGCCUCGUGAAUUCAUCUCCGGGGGUAGAGCACUGUUUCGGCUAGGGGGCCAUCCCGGCUUACCAACCCGAUGCAAACUGCGAAUACCGGAGAAUGUUAUCACGGGAGACACACGGCGGGUGCUAACGUCCGUCGUGAAGAGGGAAACAACCCAGACCGCCAGCUAAGGUCCCAAAGUCAUGGUUAAGUGGGAAACGAUGUGGGAAGGCCCAGACAGCCAGGAUGUUGGCUUAGAAGCAGCCAUCAUUUAAAGAAAGCGUAAUAGCUCACUGGUCGAGUCGGCCUGCGCGGAAGAUGUAACGGGGCUAAACCAUGCACCGAAGCUGCGGCAGCGACACUCAGGUGUUGUUGGGUAGGGGAGCGUUCUGUAAGCCUGCGAAGGUGGCCUGUGAGGGUUGCUGGAGGUAUCAGAAGUGCGAAUGCUGACAUAAGUAACGAUAAAGCGGGUGAAAAGCCCGCUCGCCGGAAGACCAAGGGUUCCUGUCCAACGUUAAUCGGGGCAGGGUGAGUCGACCCCUAAGGCGAGGCCGAAAGGCGUAGUCGAUGGGAAACGGGUUAAUAUUCCCGUACUUGGUGUUACUGCGAAGGGGGGACGGAGAAGGCUAUGUUGGCCGGGCGACGGUU